GGCCAGACUCCUACGGGAGGCAGCAGUGGGGGAUAUUGCACAAUGGGGGGAACCCUGAUGCAGCGACGCCGCGUGGGUGAAGAAGUAUUUCGGCAUGUAAAGCCCUAUCGGCAGGGAAGAAAUUGGACGGUACCUGACUAAGAAGCCCCGGCUAACUACGUGCCAGCAGCCGCGGUAAUACGUAGGGGGCAAGCGUUAUCCGGAUUUACUGGGUGUAAAGGGGGCGCAGACGGCGAUGCAAGCCAGGAGUGAAAGCCCGGGGCCCAACCCCGGGACUGCUCUUGGAACUGCGUGGCUGGAGUGCAGGAGGGGCAGGCGGAAUUCCUGGUGUAGCGGUGAAAUGCGUAGAUAUUAGGAGGAACACCAGUGGCGAAGGCGGCCUGCUGGACAGUAACUGACGUUGAGGCUCGAAAGCGUGGGGAGCAAACAGGAUUAGAUCCCCCGGUA
This 447-nucleotide ribosomal RNA is filed under the name uncultured bacterium. RNAcentral's name for it is "bacterial SSU rRNA". It matches the Rfam family "Bacterial small subunit ribosomal RNA", at positions 329 to 792 of the family's 1533-position model. The record is from RNAcentral.